Cyprinus carpio (common carp) is the source of this 1535-nucleotide long non-coding RNA. NCBI's taxonomy places the organism in Eukaryota, Metazoa, Chordata, Actinopteri, Cypriniformes, Cyprinidae. The record is from Ensembl.
GGAUUUUCAUUCAUUCAUUCACUCAUUCACUCAUUCAUUGACAUCACAGGAAUAAAUUACAUUUUAAAAUUUAUUAGCACAGAACACUGUUAUUUUAAUUUGUAAACUGUUUUUCUUAAUUUUUAAUCAAAUAAAUGCAGCUUUGUUGAGACAUCUUUCAAAAAAAAACGUACCCACCCCAAACUUUUGGACGGGGUUGUAUAAAACAUGUUUAAUUUGUUAUUUUUGGAUAUAUCCAUGGAUAUAAACCAUACAUUUUCACAUUAUAAGAUUAUCUGACUGGUGUACACACUGUACAGUAGAGACCACUGGUAAGAGACAAUAUAAAGUCCACUUCAGUGCUUAUUAAACUUUUUACUGUCUUUAUUAAAUUAAACAAAUGACAUGUAUAAAAUCUUUCCUACAAACUUGUAAGCUCAUUUAGCUGAGCUCUUUGUCUUUUUGUCACCAUCGUUGAUCAAUCGAGUUGAAUAGUAUGAAUAGUACUUAUGAAUAGUAAAUAGCUAAAUGAGGCAUUUGUUUGUUUGCAUAGAAAAAGCCAUAUGGCCUAUUCUUUCCUCUGAAUCCAAUCUGACAAAACAUGUAGUGCCUCCAGAGAGAGCGAGAGAAAGAGAGACUGCAGCAGUGCCAGGUGCAGCUCCUGUACUUUAAGCAGAUGGAAAUAACCUUUUCCCAGCAGCAAAGCUGAUAACAUCAGCAGAAGAACCCAGGCAGUCGGCACAAGUGGUCCGUUACCUCUGUGGCCUGCCAUUAUCUACAGGAAUGCUGUCCGUUAUCUCAACAGUACCCUAUCAAAGCGCACCGUUACACAAGCACAGCGUGAGCAAGUACUGGCGCUCCAGGAGAGCAAGAGUUUCUUCUCCUACACAUCCUGAUGAACAAAAGUUAAAGAGCAUGAAAACAGCUCUUAGGCCGUGUCCCAAAUGGCACCCUCAGCCCUCGCGGUCCUCCUCCGUGGUCCAGUCCCAUAUGGAACCCUCAGCUCUCCUCCGUAUCUAUACUUUGCCACGUGGGUUGUUAGGUAACGAUACCCUGUUGUCUUUUGCACCAAUGCAAGCUAUGCAAAGGGGCUUAAUAGAGAUGUGUGAUCUCUAACCUGAGACAUCCUACAGUCAUGGGUACUGUUUAAGAAAAUAUUUAACGCAGAAAUCACUUUAUUUAUUCUGUUUUAACAGAAAGCACAAUAACAGCCUGUUGCAGUUACGCUCACCCACCACAGAUACAGGAUGUGUGAGCAGGUCUCAGGGCAUCCAGCUGUAGGAACGCCAACUUGCAUUCAGCAAUACUGUAACCUUGUGACCUCCAUCGAUUGUGAGAACACUCUUUGAAAUCUGAAAUGACACUACUACUGUCCACAUCAAGUGUUCUAUCUAGGAAAGCUCCCUGUAAUGAAGACCAGUUCUGAAUGUAGAUAAGGUUCAGCUAUCAAGAUCAUGACAAAUAACAUUUCAUUUCAUAGGUAAAAUGGUAAGUUACUGUCUUCGUAAGAUCAGAAUCAGUAAAGAUUUGAAAAUAAAUGGUCAGGUUUUUCUACA